RNAcentral lists this ribosomal RNA (490 nucleotides) under uncultured bacterium. Its description in RNAcentral is "partial 16S ribosomal RNA". It matches the Rfam family "Bacterial small subunit ribosomal RNA", at positions 30 to 507 of the family's 1533-position model. The record is from RNAcentral.
AUUGAACGCUGGCGGCAGGCCUAACACAUGCAAGUCGAACGGUAACAGGAAGCAGCUUGCUGCUUUGCUGACGAGUGGCGGACGGGUGAGUAAUGUCUGGGAAACUGCCUGAUGGAGGGGGAUAACUACUGGAAACGGUAGCUAAUACCGCAUAACGUCGCAAGACCAAAGAGGGGGACCUUAGGGCCUCUUGCCAUCGGAUGUGCCCAGAUGGGAUUAGCUAGUAGGUGGGGUAACGGCUCACCUAGGCGACGAUCCCUAGCUGGUCUGAGAGGAUGACCGGCCACCCUGGAACUGAGACACGGUCCAGACGCCUACGGGAGGCAGCAGUGGGGAAUAUUGCACAAUGGGCGCAAGCCUGAUGCAGCCAUGCCGCGUGUAUGAAGAAGGCCUUCGGGUUGUAAAGUACUUUCAGCGGGGAGGAACGGAGUAAAGUUAAUACCUUUGCUCAUUGACGUUACCCGCAGAAGAAGCACCGGCUAACUCCGUG